GUUUUCUCCGGCGACCACAAAUGGUGGGCUUCCAAAAUCUCCGACUUGCCCACCGGCUCACCGGCUAUGUUUCACGCUCUACAUGCGAGUUAUUGCUGAAAAUUGGUUGUAGAGGUUAUUGCACGGAGAUAUCGAAUCGAGUUAGGAAUUUGUUUCCUUUGAAUUAUAUCAGUGCCCCAUUAGCUUGUAUCCCGAGGACAUCAUACACAGACUUGUUGCGAUAUUCUUCUACACAGGGCCUGAGGCAUGAACAAUUUUGUACUACUGCAGGAAAUG
RNAcentral lists this unclassified non-coding RNA (276 nucleotides) under Hevea brasiliensis (rubber tree). Lineage: Eukaryota; Viridiplantae; Streptophyta; Magnoliopsida; Malpighiales; Euphorbiaceae. The record is from RNAcentral.